UUGAAUAUAUCAUCCAGGAAGUGUCCUGACACAGAUCCAUCAAUCCGUUGUGGACACUCAACUUGUCUGCAGAACCGCCUACCUCUUCCUUAGUUAUGCAUUUUACGACUGUCUUCGUUCCCUAAACGCAACACUGACUCAAUAAAACGCCUAAUACGUCAGACGUUCGUGUUGAACGUCUGUGGCGGGAAUAGCGGCAUAGUCUGAAACUCGACAGAAACCAAUAAAAGUAAGACAAAGACUCAAGAUACUGUGUUGAACUGGUUCGGACUUGGUGGAAACAGCCUCUAAAAGUGCUCCAAUGAAGGUACAGGACAGACACGUACAAUUCCUCCGUAAGAGGGGCAGGCAAACAGCACAAAAGGGCUAGUCGACAAUCUACAACAAUGUGGCUAAAGUCGGUGAGGCCCAUAAUGGACAUCAGAGGGUCGAGGCAGAGGAAUAUAGACCAGGCAGGACUGGGCUAGUCCUGGUCCCUGGAUGGGACCAAUGAAGUGGAUGCAAGAAUGACUGAUGGGUGUUCCAGCCAGGUGAUGAGAGAUGCUGACGCCAGUGCCAGGAAGUCUUUAACACUUUAAAGACUUUAAAGUGAGUACAAUGUUUUAGAGCAUUAACUGUAGUAUUCUACAGUUAAUGUUUUUCUCUUCCAUUGGCCUUAAAGGUGUCUCCCAGAGAAGCUAGUACACGGCAUGC
RNAcentral lists this long non-coding RNA (693 nucleotides) under Betta splendens (Siamese fighting fish). Its description in RNAcentral is "lncRNA (ENSBSLG00000007373.1)". Lineage: Eukaryota; Metazoa; Chordata; Actinopteri; Anabantiformes; Osphronemidae. The record is from RNAcentral.